RNAcentral lists this long non-coding RNA (557 nucleotides) under Nicotiana benthamiana. Its description in RNAcentral is "long non-coding RNA (NBEN_LNC023984)". The record is from RNAcentral. Lineage: Eukaryota; Viridiplantae; Streptophyta; Magnoliopsida; Solanales; Solanaceae.
UUAAAUAAUCAAACAGUUCAAUAAAAUUAUAAAAUCAAAAUAAGAAUGUAAACAGAGAAUUUUAUUCCAACAAAUCGUAUAUAAAUAAAUAACAAAAGAAUCAGCUUAACAUUGGAAUUAUGACAGGAAAAUAUAACGACAAUACAAAGCAAUAAUGGGCAAAGCGCAUCUCUGUUCAAACUCGAAAAAACAUGGACUUCUCGAGUACGAAAUUACCAGGACCGAAAUCAUUGCCUCAACAGAGAUAAGAUUGAAACAAGCAGAGAUGUUGCAAUGAAAGCACCGGAAACUGGCAGAGAGAACGCGGUUCCGGCGUCCGGUCCGGUGACAGAGCAGUCUCCUGUGCAGAGGAAGCAACAGCAGAAAGGAGGACGGCGAGAACCAAGACUUGGAUCGUAAUGCUAUUUUGAGCCAUCUCUGAGAACUUUGAUCAGAAAAUGGAAGUUUGUUUAAGUUAAGCGAACCGUGUUGUGCUAAAAUAGAAACUUGAUUUGAAUUGGUGAGGAAAACAGGUUGUAAGGGUUUAUUUAUAUAGGAGUGGAGCGACCGGUUUGUAG